AAUUUCAGCGUUCUUUCUGCAAUGGAAACAAAUAGCAUAAAAGAAUACUACAUGUUCUCAGAAUGAAAUGCUAUCUUCUGCUUUAAUUCCUAUGUUCGACAGCCUAGUAGUGACCUCACAGUGGAUUCUGUGAUGAAAACUAUGCUGCAGCUGGAGACUCGAGUCUCCAGUCAUGUGGAGUGCUAUCUCACACCUGUGCUCACGAAGCCAAUGUGUGUGCUUCCCUUUGCCUCAACCCCUUCAGGCUUUAGUUCCUCACAACUUUGGGCUGGGAAGCAAGAACAGGAUUCUUGAUUCUUCAGGGGAUACUCAGGUGGAGGAGGAAGAAGAAAUCAGCAUUUGGAGACAAUAAAAUGGGAAAGCCUAUCAUCUAGACCUGCUUCGUCCAAAAUUAUGGGAACCAGUAGGGAGAAGUUCAGUUCAGCAAUUUUAUACAGAUGCAAAGUGAGACUGCGACAGCUGGGACAACGGUUCAAAUCAUGAUGUUCAAGUGCUUCGCCUAUGGAGCCUAAAGAUUCUCAUCAAACCUCCAGUAGUCACUAUUUCUGUGUCUUCCUUGUCUGGAAGCUGUUGUCAGAGUGGCACUAAGAGUUCUACGCUUGUCAACAGGAGCAAU
RNAcentral lists this long non-coding RNA (616 nucleotides) under Equus caballus (horse). Its description in RNAcentral is "lncRNA (ENSECAG00000056499.1)". Lineage: Eukaryota; Metazoa; Chordata; Mammalia; Perissodactyla; Equidae. The record is from RNAcentral.